RNAcentral lists this ribosomal RNA (119 nucleotides) under Pteropus alecto (black flying fox). The record is from RNAcentral. Lineage: Eukaryota; Metazoa; Chordata; Mammalia; Chiroptera; Pteropodidae.
AUCUACGGCCAUGCCACCCUGAACAAGCCCGAUCCCAUCUGAUCUCGAAAGCUAAGCAGGGUCGGGCCUGGUUAGUACUUGGAUGGGAGACCACCUAGGAAGACCAGGUGCUGUAGACG